RNAcentral lists this long non-coding RNA (476 nucleotides) under Pan troglodytes (chimpanzee). RNAcentral's name for it is "long non-coding RNA NONPTRT011166". Lineage: Eukaryota; Metazoa; Chordata; Mammalia; Primates; Hominidae. The record is from RNAcentral.
CGAGGAAGGGGACGGCAAGAGGAGGCCCGCCCCGGGCGGCCGGUAGCCAAGUGUCCGCUGGCGCCCUCUGCUGGCCAGGAGGAGUCACUGCGGCCUCGCUGAGGCAUGGGCCGGGUCUGGAGCCAAGUAGGGAAGACACAAUGGCGCUAAACAGCCUGGCCCCCGUAUUUUCUGUGCCACUCCACCCCAUUCCCCUCGCAGAGCUGGAGACUAGGUGUUCAAUGUCGACGGAAUGAAUACAUGAAAUCGUUCAUGUAAUCUUCACAACAACCCUUCGAGGAGUACAGGGAGACCCAGAGAGCUGAAGUUCUCGAAUCACUGGGCUGGUGAAUGGAUUAGAAUCUACGUUUCCUAACAGCCGAGACCCACCUCCACAUCUCUCAUGAAAGGGACUGGGUGAAUCAACAAAGUGAGACUUCAUAUUAAUAUAAUACUACUAAUAAUAAUUAAUGUUUUUAAUAUUAAAAGAAAUGGAC